RNAcentral lists this long non-coding RNA (1082 nucleotides) under Phasianus colchicus (ring-necked pheasant). Its description in RNAcentral is "lncRNA (ENSPCLG00000009369.1)". The record is from RNAcentral. Lineage: Eukaryota; Metazoa; Chordata; Aves; Galliformes; Phasianidae.
GGGGCACGAGGUGGGAAAGGUCUGUACGAAUUGCUGUUAAACCGCAAAACACAGGCGUAAAAGUCACGCCUGACUGGACAUGAGGAGCUCAUUACAAAGUAGCAUUCUGUCUUCACAACUGUUUCUUUACUGGUCACCGCCUUCCCUGAGUCUUAGGUGAACUUGCCUGAUUUACCUGAAGGCCUGCAAGAGGAUUUCCAGGAGAGGAACAAGAAGACAGGAAAGCAGACAGGAGGGUGAGGCAUGUGCACUGGCUGAAGCAGCACAGCCCAUCUGAGCACAGCAUGCACGGGAGCCUGGGAUGCUCUGAUCCAGAAAGACCAGGGACUGAAAGAAACCCAAUGGAGAAUCAUGUACAUUAAAGCUUCCUCAGGAAUAUUAACUGAUUUAACAUAGUGCCCUGGUUUCACUUGGUAGAGAGUUUUCACCAAGCAUUGAAGGCCAUCUUUAAAUACUGAUUAUGUGGGGCAGUGAACAGGCAUUGCAGCUCCUUGCAUGGAACUAAAGGAGUGAAGUCAGUUAAGUGACAUUAUGAUCAGGAUUCCGAGAUGAUUUCUUUACAUACAUUCACUUUUGUUCUCUAUCAACUUGUUUUCAAUGUGAGUUUUGAAUGAACACACAUGAGGGAGGAUUUUCUUCUCGAGAGAAGUGGAAAUUUGUUGGUUACUUCUGUUGGCAAGUCACAGGACAAAGCGGAGUGCCAGGGUAUCAUGGUACUUUCACACCUUCUGUCUUCUGAACAUCUCAGUGAAAGUUCUGGGAAAUGUAAUUGAAUAUAAGAACAUUUUGAAUGGAUUAUCAAGUGUAGCAUCCUCUCACUAACAUACUAAACAGUCUGCUUUUUGAGUGCUGCUGAACACUGAGCUGAUACUGUACUUUGCAACACACCCAUCAUUUGUCUGUGGUUGUUGUCUAUCUGAACACACCAUCAGUUUUGCUGUCCCCACUGCUGUGCUCUCUUCCAUCACAGACUGGGAUGGAAUAUCCUUCAUUUCAUAUUGUAACACCAGGAAAAGCAAGCUGGGUGAGGACUUGUCUGCCCUUCAUUGUUUCUAUAAAUAAAGUAAGGAUGUUGAUCUCCA